GCUUGUCUCAAAGAUUAAGCCAUGCAUGUCUAAGUUCAACCAUCUUAAGGUGAAACUGCGCAUAGCUCAUUAAAUCAGUGGCGAUUUACAAGCUUGCUAUUUUAUAAGGAUACCUGUGGCAAUUCUACACUUAAUACUUGCCCUUUAUCCGACUUUUCUUGGUCGUAUUGUGACCCGAUUUCGGGCCGUGCUCUCAAACCACUGACCUAUCAACUUCCGAUGGUAGGAUAGAGGCCUACCAUGGUGUCGACGGGUAACGGAGAAUCAGGGUUCGAUUCCGGAGAGGGAGCCUGAGAAAUAGCUACCACAUCCAAGGAAGGCAGCAGG
This 327-nucleotide ribosomal RNA is filed under the name uncultured fungus. RNAcentral describes it as "partial small subunit ribosomal RNA". It matches the Rfam family "Eukaryotic small subunit ribosomal RNA", at positions 30 to 432 of the family's 1831-position model. Lineage: Eukaryota; Fungi. The record is from RNAcentral.